RNAcentral lists this long non-coding RNA (497 nucleotides) under Phoenix dactylifera (date palm). Its description in RNAcentral is "long non-coding RNA (PDAC_LNC018481)". The record is from RNAcentral. Lineage: Eukaryota; Viridiplantae; Streptophyta; Magnoliopsida; Arecales; Arecaceae.
UGUCCCAUCGGAUCUCGGGGCCUCAUCAUGGGUCCACAGAAUCAAAUCGUCUUGAGGAACGAGCGGACGUAACCCCAGCUCCCCUCGUUUAAUAAGAUCUGGGACACGUGGAGCCCCGAUGAGGCCUCCACUUCUUCGGAAUUAUGAUCCAGUAACAUGAAAUCGAAAGCGUCCGACCUCGGGUCGCGCCGCGUGUCCGUUUCAAACCCCGUAACGGCACACUCAUUAAUGAGCCAGAAACGUCGAUUACGGAAUCGAGACACCGCCUCGACGAGCUCGAGGUCCCCCAUUAUUAAUCCACCGUAAAAUGAUCCAAGAAGCAUGAUGAUACGAGCUCCAUCAUUAGCUCACCGAAUAAAGCAGCCUCGAGACGCCAAAGGGCGCAUAUCUCACCGUAAAAGCUCCGGAAAGCACAAGGGGGCGGGCGAGACCUUCCCCCCAACCUUAGUGACAGACUUUACUUCCCACGUCCGAGCCCCACAAGCCGCUCGAACUCG